GGGCGAAACUCUCAUGAACAACGGCACUUGUUUGUCCCUCUCGGAACACAUGGUACACGUCUCUGCUCUACUGGUCCUCGUCUGCCUACCCAAACCCACCCACUCGCUCCACCUCCACCCUCACCAUUGGCUGUGCUGCCACCAUCUCAAGCAUGCUCUACUUUGUGGCUCAGUGGUUAAGCGCUUGACUGCUAAACAAAAGGACAUCUCAAAGGACUUCUGCUCCUGUGGAGCAAACUCUGGUAAUAUUGUUUUGAGAACAAGAAAUUAUACUGGUGGAUGGAUUUCUGUGCUUCAAGUAGCAUCUCUGUGCUGAAGCCUAAGGUAAGGGGAGGUGCUGAGACUGCCUCGAUGUGGACCAGCCCAGUGAUGCUUCCCUCUGGAAUGCGACAUCUUAGCCGUGGCAGAUGCCUCUAAUGUGGGAAGACACCAGCUCAACUUUCUGCCACAGCCCUAUGGGAAUGGCCUGUUCCCAGAACUGAGGCUCUGGAAUCUGGCAGUGGUGGAGAGAACCAUCAGUCUUCAACAUGGCUCGUCUGCUUGAGUUAACUUCAAGCUACAUGGGAACAGCAGGGCUUCCAGGUGGUUAAAUGUGCUCAAGGGGUGAGUCAGGAGGUCUCUUCAGAUAAUAAACUCCUAAGGACAUAUGAAGCUUCCUGAUGAUUCAAAAUAGUUUUAUUUUGAGCACCCAAGGCAUCCCUCACAUUGGCCUGAAGACUUAUGCCACCAUGCACUUGAGUUCACGAAGGUCAAUGUACUUCCCGUGACGUGGCAGAAUGCAUCCUGCUCUCUGUAGCCACCAUGUCAUCAGAGUUUUCCUGAUUGCUCAGCCCGGAGAUGACUGCUUUUCCUGCUUCAGGGUUCACUUAUGAAGAUCAGGAGUGUCAACAAUUAGGAAAAGAGCCUCCUUUUUAAUUGAUACAUGCUUAAAAUGAGUAAUUCAAACAACGUGGAAAAGAAUAAAUCAGAAAGUGAUAUACUAUACAUCUCACUACCCAGAAGGACAUUAUCAUUUAAUCAAAAACCAGUUGCCAUUGAGUCAAUUCCAACUCAUGGCGACCCCAUGUGCACAGAGUAGAACUGUGCUCCACAGUGUUUUCAAGGCCGUAAUCUUUCAGAGGUAGAUUGCCAGGUUAGGAGCCUAGCACGUUAUCUAUUUGCACCACCAGGGGACUCCUAUCAUUUAACAGGUGACAGAAAUGUGGAGCUUGUAAGUAGUGAUACCCAAGGCACAAAAGGCCCUGAUUGCCUUCAGAGUGGUCACAUUUGAUUGGCUUAACUUGCUCUCAGAAGCCUACAGAAAUCACUACCACACAGAAUGUCCAGGGGAUGUGAACUUUGCCUUUUACUAAUGUUUAAGCCACAGUCUAGGAAAUAAAAUGCUAUUAAAAGAAAAACAGAGAGGAAAAAAACCAUCACCCACUCAUCCAUU
Long non-coding RNA from Trichechus manatus latirostris (Florida manatee), 1432 nucleotides. RefSeq lists it as uncharacterized. Lineage: Eukaryota; Metazoa; Chordata; Mammalia; Sirenia; Trichechidae. The record is from RefSeq and is a predicted model, not a curated record. The transcript is spliced from 4 exons.